UACAGAGGGUGCAAGCGUUAAUCGGAAUUACUGGGCGUAAAGCGUGCGUAGGCGGUUACAUAAGUCGGGUGUGAAAGCCCCGGGCUCAACCUGGGAAUUGCAUUCGAGACUGCGUAGCUAGGGUGCGGAAGAGGGAAGCGGAAUUUCCGGUGUAGCGGUGAAAUGCGUAGAUAUCGAGAGGAACACCUGCGGCGAAGGCGGGUAGCUGGGCCGACACUGACGCUGAGGCGCGAAAGCCAGGGGAGCGAACGGG
Molecule: ribosomal RNA, 253 nt
Filed under: uncultured bacterium
Lineage: Bacteria
Description: partial 16S ribosomal RNA
Rfam family: Bacterial small subunit ribosomal RNA
Source: RNAcentral